UACGUAGGGUGCAAGCGUUAAUCGGAAUUACUGGGCGUAAAGCGUGCGCAGGCGGUUCUAUAAGACAGAUGUGAAAUCCCCGGGCUCAACCUGGGAACUGCAUUUGUGACUGUAGAGCUGGAGUACGGCAGAGGGGGAUGGAAUUCCGCGUGUAGCAGUGAAAUGCGUAGAUAUGCGGAGGAAUACCGAUGGCGAAGGCAAUCCCCUGGGCCUGUACUGACGCUCAUGCACGAAAGCGUGGGGAGCAAACAGG
Molecule: ribosomal RNA, 253 nt
Filed under: uncultured bacterium
Lineage: Bacteria
Description: partial 16S ribosomal RNA
Rfam family: Bacterial small subunit ribosomal RNA
Source: RNAcentral